AUAGGUGUAGUAUGUGUGUAGCAUACAUUCUUGUAAUGUGUGUAUUAUGUGUGCAGAAGAUACAUGUAAGUUGCAUGUGUAUGAAUAAUUCAUAUUACCUUAUAAAUAAGCCUAUGCAAAUGCGAACUUGUAAAUAUCUGUGUGUGUAUGCAUGUAAAUGGACAAUUGUGUAUGGUUUGAUGAAAGCAUUUAUGUAUACAACGGCGAGCCUAUACGUUUGGAAGUGAAUGUAUAGAUCGUGUAGAUAUAUAGUUAACCAGCUUGUAAUUGCUUACCUGCAGAUACUCCGUUGUCCUUAGUUUUUGGAUUGUUCCUCCCAUAAAGACGCAUCUUGCCUGAGUAAGUUCCCACGAACAUCCAGUUCAACAAGAUGCCGGACGGUCCCAGAAAGACGACGUACCAUGUACAGACAACAUGCGCUUGAUAAGAUGGAGGAGAUCUUUGAAAAGAAUCCCUACCCAAAUCUUGACAUCAGAGAGAAUCUUUCACAAGAGCUCGAGGUCCCCGAGUCGAAAAUACAGGGGUGGUUUCAGAAUCGUCGUACUCGCCGAGGACGUACCAAGACCCGACGUGGACCCUGUAGCACCAGACAGUCAGUAAACCGCCAUACUCUCAUCCGAAACAGCCUCUCCCCUACUGCAACCCCCUGUCAUGGUUCCACGCUCCGUCACCCUUGCUGCCAGAUCUUCUACCCCGUUGUUCCCCAACAGCUGACCACUUGAUCACGUCUCACUCCGGAGCCCAACACUUGAAAUCACAGCAACAAGACCAUCUGAGAGAACUGUUGAUUGAAAGAGUUGAGGGCCUACGAGGUCAAAGCUUCCAGCUCCAUUGUAUCUGAUAGCGAUUCCAACUUAACAUCAGAUAUUUGCUGACCUCACAAGUGAAAUAUCAUUAUAGUGCUAUGAGUAGCCGAGAGAACUACUUAGUGUUAGUGCUACAUACAAUGAAAACCCAGUCAAUGUUCAGGCG
Haliotis rubra (blacklip abalone) is the source of this 972-nucleotide long non-coding RNA. RefSeq lists it as uncharacterized. NCBI's taxonomy places the organism in Eukaryota, Metazoa, Mollusca, Gastropoda, Lepetellida, Haliotidae. The record is from RefSeq and is a predicted model, not a curated record. The transcript has 3 exons.